Molecule: ribosomal RNA, 468 nt
Filed under: uncultured bacterium
Lineage: Bacteria
Description: partial 16S ribosomal RNA
Rfam family: Bacterial small subunit ribosomal RNA
Source: RNAcentral
GACGAACGCUGGCGGCGUGCUUAACACAUGCAAGUCGAACGGAAAGGCCCUGCUUUUGUGGGGUGCUCGAGUGGCGAACGGGUGAGUAACACGUGAGUAACCUGCCCUUGACUUUGGGAUAACUUCAGGAAACUGGGGCUAAUACCGGAUAGGAGCUCCUGCUGCAUGGUGGGGGUUGGAAAGUUUCGGCGGUUGGGGAUGGACUCGCGGCUUAUCAGCUUGUUGGUGGGGUAGUGGCUUACCACGGCUUUGACGGGUAGCCGGCCUGAGAGGGUGACCGGCCACAUGGGGACUGAGAUACGGCCCAGACGCCUACGGGAGGCAGCAGUGGGGAAUAUUGCACAAUGGGCGGAAGCCUGAUGCAGCAACUCCGCGUGCGGGAUGACGGCCUUCGGGUUGUAAACCGCUUUCGCCUGUGACGAAGCGUGAGUGACGGUAAUGGGUAAAGAAGCACCGGCUAACUACGUG